This 28-nucleotide non-coding RNA is filed under the name Mus musculus (house mouse). Lineage: Eukaryota; Metazoa; Chordata; Mammalia; Rodentia; Muridae. The record is from RNAcentral.
UGGUCCAUGUUAGUGCCCAGUCCAUUGC